This 69-nucleotide transfer RNA is filed under the name Psittacula krameri (Rose-ringed parakeet). Its description in RNAcentral is "tRNA-Lys". RNAcentral also lists the same sequence under 1 other name. The record is from RNAcentral. Lineage: Eukaryota; Metazoa; Chordata; Aves; Psittaciformes; Psittacidae.
CAUUAAGAAGCUAUGCACUAGCACUAGCCUUUUAAGCUAGACAGAGAGGGGCAACUCCCUCCUUAAUGG